UGCAUGCUUGCAGUCUGAAGAAAAAAUGUAAACGAAACCAAAACUUUCAACAACGGAUCUCUUGGUUCUGGCAACGAUGAAGAACGCAGCGAAAUGCGAUAAGUAAUGCGAAUUGCAGAAUUCAGUGAAUCAUCGAAUCUUUGAACGCACAUUGCGCC
This 158-nucleotide ribosomal RNA is filed under the name Parafusicladium amoenum. RNAcentral describes it as "Fusicladium amoenum 5.8S ribosomal RNA". The stretch from base 42 to 158 matches the Rfam family "5.8S ribosomal RNA", at positions 1 to 117 of the family's 154-position model. From Rfam's summary of the family: 5.8S ribosomal RNA (5.8S rRNA) is a component of the large subunit of the eukaryotic ribosome. The record is from RNAcentral. Lineage: Eukaryota; Fungi; Ascomycota; Dothideomycetes; Venturiales; Sympoventuriaceae.